This 457-nucleotide ribosomal RNA is filed under the name uncultured Halomonas sp. Its description in RNAcentral is "bacterial SSU rRNA". It matches the Rfam family "Bacterial small subunit ribosomal RNA", at positions 923 to 1379 of the family's 1533-position model. Lineage: Bacteria; Pseudomonadati; Pseudomonadota; Gammaproteobacteria; Oceanospirillales; Halomonadaceae. The record is from RNAcentral.
GCACAAGCGGUGGAGCAUGUGGUUUAAUUCGAUGCAACGCGAAGAACCUUACCUACUCUUGACAUCCUGCGAAUUUGGUAGAGAUACCUUAGUGCCUUCGGGAACGCAGAGACAGGUGCUGCAUGGCUGUCGUCAGCUCGUGUUGUGAAAUGUUGGGUUAAGUCCCGUAACGAGCGCAACCCUUGUCCUUAUUUGCCAGCGCGUAAUGGCGGGAACUCUAAGGAGACUGCCGGUGACAAACCGGAGGAAGGUGGGGACGACGUCAAGUCAUCAUGGCCCUUACGAGUAGGGCUACACACGUGCUACAAUGGUCGGUACAAAGGGUUGCCAACUCGCGAGAGUGAGCCAAUCCCGAAAAGCCGAUCUCAGUCCGGAUCGGAGUCUGCAACUCGACUCCGUGAAGUCGGAAUCGCUAGUAAUCGUGGAUCAGAAUGCCACGGUGAAUACGUUCCCGGGC